Molecule: ribosomal RNA, 252 nt
Filed under: uncultured bacterium
Lineage: Bacteria
Description: partial 16S ribosomal RNA
Rfam family: Bacterial small subunit ribosomal RNA
Source: RNAcentral
UACGUAGGGUGCAAGCGUUGUCCGGAAUUAUUGGGCGUAAAGAGCUCGUAGGCGGUCCGUCACGUCGGCUGUGAAAACCUGGGGCUCAACCCCGGGCCUGCAGCCGAUACGGGCGGACUAGAAUUCGGUAGGGGAGACUGGAAUUCCUGGUGUAGCGGUGAAAUGCGCAGAUAUCAGGAGGAACACCGGCUGGCGAAGGCGGGUCUCUGGGCCGAUAUUGACGCUGAGGAGCGAAAGCGUGGGAGCGAACAG